UCUGGGACAAGCCCUGGAAACGGGGUCUAAUACCGGAUAAUACUUCUGCCUGCAUGGGCGGGGGUUGAAAGCUCCGGCGGUGAAGGAUGAGCCCGCGGCCUAUCAGCUUGUUGGUGAGGUAGUGGCUCACCAAGGCGACGACGGGUAGCCGGCCUGAGAGGGCGACCGGCCACACUGGGACUGAGACACGGCCCAGACUCCUACGGGAGGCAGCAGUGGGGAAUAUUGCACAAUGGGCGAAAGCCUGAUGCAGCGACGCCGCGUGAGGGAUGACGGCCUUCGGGUUGUAAACCUCUUUCAGCAGGGAAGAAGCGCAAGUGACGGUACCUGCAGAAGAAGCGCCGGCUAACUACGUGCCAGCAGCCGCGGUAAUACGUAGGGCGCAAGCGUUGUCCGGAAUUAUUGGGCGUAAAGAGCUCGUAGGCGGCUUGUCGCGUCGGUUGUGAAAGCCCGGGGCUUAACCCCGGGUCUGCAGUCGAUACGGGCAGGCUAGAGUGUGGUAGGGGAGAUCGGAAUUCCUGGUGUAGCGGUGAAAUGCGCAGAUAUCAGGAGGAACACCGGUGGCGAAGGCGGAUCUCUGGGCCAUUACUGACGCUGAGGAGCGAAAGCGUGGGGAGCGAACAGGAUUAGAUACCCUGGUAGUCCACGCCGUAAACGGUGGGAACUAGGUGUUGGCGACAUUCCACGUCGUCGGUGCCGCAGCUAACGCAUUUAAGUUCCCCGCCUGG
This 728-nucleotide ribosomal RNA is filed under the name Streptomyces sp. RNAcentral describes it as "bacterial SSU rRNA". It matches the Rfam family "Bacterial small subunit ribosomal RNA", at positions 137 to 876 of the family's 1533-position model. The record is from RNAcentral. Lineage: Bacteria; Bacillati; Actinomycetota; Actinomycetes; Kitasatosporales; Streptomycetaceae.